AGCAGUAGCCGCGGUAAUACGUAGGUGGCAAGCGUUGUCCGGAAUUAUUGGGCGUAAAGGGCUCGCAGGCGGUUUCUUAAGUCUGAUGUGAAAGCCCCCGGCUCAACCGGGGAGGGUCAUUGGAAACUGGGAAACUUGAGUGCAGAAGAGGAGAGUGGAAUUCCACGUGUAGCGGUGAAAUGCGUAGAGAUGUGGAGGAACACCAGUGGCGAAGGCGACUCUCUGGUCUGUAACUGACGCUGAGGAGCGAAAGCGUGGGGAGCGAACAGGAAUAGAUACCCCGGUAGUCCCUGUCUCUUAUAC
Molecule: ribosomal RNA, 303 nt
Filed under: uncultured bacterium
Lineage: Bacteria
Description: partial 16S ribosomal RNA
Rfam family: Bacterial small subunit ribosomal RNA
Source: RNAcentral